GGGGACGUAGCUCAGUUGGGAGAGCACCUGCUUUGCAAGCAGGAUGUCGGCGGUUCGAGUCCGCUCGUCUCCA
This 73-nucleotide transfer RNA is filed under the name Caldifarciminota bacterium. RNAcentral describes it as "tRNA-Ala". It matches the Rfam family "tRNA". From Rfam's summary of the family: Transfer RNA (tRNA) molecules are approximately 80 nucleotides in length. Their secondary structure includes four short double-helical elements and three loops (D, anti-codon, and T loops). Lineage: Bacteria; Pseudomonadati; Caldifarciminota. The record is from RNAcentral.